This is a long non-coding RNA of Drosophila nasuta, 591 nucleotides long. RefSeq lists it as uncharacterized. NCBI's taxonomy places the organism in Eukaryota, Metazoa, Arthropoda, Insecta, Diptera, Drosophilidae. The transcript has 3 exons. The record is from RefSeq and is a predicted model, not a curated record.
AUUUGUAUUGUUUCUUAAUCUUAUAGUAAAUAUGCAAGGCCCAGAAACGCUUGCAAAGCCAACAAACUGAUACAGAACGGGGUUCUGUUGGGGUUCUUUUGGCUUUGCAAGCGCUUUUGGAGCCUUGUGUUCGGUUUGGUGCAAAGAGCGGACCCAGAAUCUGAGGCAUCAUCUACAGCUACUGAUUAGAGCUGGAAAAACCUUGAGGUAACAUCGAUAAUAUAGAUGUUGCCAAAAAUGUUGCAACAUCGACAUUCGUUACUUGCAACCGGGUAAAAGAGGAAGCAUCAACGCGUGGUAAGAGUAAUUGGUGGUGUUGGCAGGCAUCGUGUGAGAAUUAUGGACACAUUUUUUUGAAAAACAGUUCAUAAAUUAACAUUUUUGUCACCAUCGGCGUUUUCGGAACCACUGGAGUACGAAAUAGUGCAUACUUUUAAGGCUGAUCAUUCAAAGAACAUAAGAAAUCAAGAAAGCUGCUACGUUUCAAAAAAUUCCGGAUAUGAUGUUCUUUCUACCCAAGUUGCAAGUUAUUUAUUGAUGGAAUAUUUAAAUUAGAAAUAAAUAAAUUAUUAAUGGAAUACACAACCUUAA